UCGAGCAAGAAGACGAUGGAGAUCAACCCGGAGAACGCCAUCAUGGAGGAGUUGCGCAAGCGCGCCGACGCUGACAAGAACGACAAGUCUGUCAAGGACCUGGUGAUGCUGCUGUUCGAGACCUCCCUGCUCACCUCUGGAUUCAGCCUCGACGACCCCAACACCUUCGGCACCAGGAUCCACCGCAUGCUCAAGCUGGGCCUGAGCAUCGACGAGGACGAGGAGGCUGCUGAGGCUGACACGGACAUGCCGCCGC
Molecule: long non-coding RNA, 256 nt
Filed under: Triticum aestivum (bread wheat)
Lineage: Eukaryota; Viridiplantae; Streptophyta; Magnoliopsida; Poales; Poaceae
Description: long non-coding RNA (TAES_LNC015994)
Source: RNAcentral